GAGGGUAUAGCUCAAUGUGGUAGAGCACAUGCUUAGCAUGCACAAGGUCUUGGGUUCAAUCCCCAGUACCUCCU
Camelus ferus (Wild Bactrian camel) is the source of this 74-nucleotide transfer RNA. It matches the Rfam family "tRNA". Rfam says of the family: Transfer RNA (tRNA) molecules are approximately 80 nucleotides in length. Their secondary structure includes four short double-helical elements and three loops (D, anti-codon, and T loops). The record is from Rfam. NCBI's taxonomy places the organism in Eukaryota, Metazoa, Chordata, Mammalia, Artiodactyla, Camelidae.